AACGAGCGCUGGUGGCAUGCCUAACACAUGCAAGUCGAACGAGACCUUCGGGUCUAGUGGCGCACGGGUGCGUAACGCGUGGGAACCUGCCCUUAGGUUCGGAAUAACUCCCCGAAAGGGGUGCUAAUACCGGAUAAUGUCUUCGGACCAAAGAUUUAUCGCCUUUGGAUGGGCCCGCGUUGGAUUAGCUAGUUGGUAGGGUAAAAGCCUACCAAGGCGACGAUCCAUAGCUGGUCUGAGAGGAUGAUCAGCCACACUGGGACUGAGACACGGCCCAGACUCCUACGGGAAGCAGCAGUGGGGAAUAUUGGACAAUGGGCGAAAGCCUGAUCCAGCAAUGCCGCGUGAGUGAUGAAGGCCUUAGGGUUGUAAAGCUCUUUUACCCGGGAUGAUAAUGACAGUACCGGGAGAAUAAGCUCCGGCUAACUCCGUG
Molecule: ribosomal RNA, 433 nt
Filed under: uncultured bacterium
Lineage: Bacteria
Description: partial 16S ribosomal RNA
Rfam family: Bacterial small subunit ribosomal RNA
Source: RNAcentral